This 2469-nucleotide long non-coding RNA is filed under the name Homo sapiens (human). RNAcentral's name for it is "HSALNT0122033". The record is from RNAcentral. Lineage: Eukaryota; Metazoa; Chordata; Mammalia; Primates; Hominidae.
GCUGAGGUGGGCAGAUUGCUUGAACCCAGAAGUUCGAGACCAGCCUGGGCAGCAGGGUGAAACUCUGUCUUUACAAAAAAAAAAAAAAAAAUAGCCAGGUGUUGGGGUGUGUGCCUGUAGUCCCAGCUACUUGGUAGGCUGAGGUAGGAGGAUUGAGGUGGAGGCUUCAAUGAGCUGUGAUUGCACCACUGCACCCCAGCCUUGGUGACAGAGCAAAGGAAAAAUAAAACUUAAAUUUUUUUCCAACAUACAUACCGAAGUAUUUAGAGAUGAAGUAUUUAUUUUGUCUGCAACUUACUUUCCAAAGUUGGCAACAAAAAAAAGUGUGUGCAUAAAAAAAAUAGAUACAUGGAGAAAGAGAGAGCAUGUAAACGAACAUGGCAAGAUGUUAACAAUUGGUGAAUCUCUAGGUUAUGUGGGUGCUCACUGCACUAUUCUUUUAAAUUUAUUUUUAUUUUUGUUGUUUUUCAGAGACAGGGUCUUGCUCUAUCACCCAGGCUAGAGUGUAGUGGCACCAAGAUAGCUCCCUGCAGCCUCAAACUCCUGGGCUCAAGUGACGCUCCCUUCUCAGCCUCCCAAGUAGCUGGGACUACACAGGUGUGCUCCACCACACCUGGUUAAUUAAAAAAAUUUUUUGUAGACACAGGGUCUCACUUUGUUGUCCAAGCUGGUCUUGAACUUCUGGAUUUUGGCGAUCCUCCUGCCUUGACUUCACAAAGUGCUCGGAUUACAGGUGUGAGCCACUGCACUUGCCAUUGCAUUACUUUUUAACUUUAUUAAAAUAAAGUUUCAGAAAGGGCAAAAUUAAUCUCUGGUGACAGGGGCCAGAACAGUGAUGACCUGGGGUGGGGUGUGGGUUGGUCUCUCCUGUGAGGUUUGGAAGGGCAGGCAGGAUGGGCUGGAAGCUGGCCCCUCACAUGAAUACGGGGAAUUAGGAAGUGUUUUCUCCUCCACAAUGUUUGGGAGAAUUUGGGGAUUUAUGUCCAUUCUUUAGCAUUUGGUAGAAUUCACCAUCUGGUCCUGGGCUUUUCUUUUGUUGGGAAGCUUUUGAUGACUGGUUCUACCUAUGUGUUUUAGGUUGGUUCAGAUUUUUUCCUUUUUCUUCUUUUUUUGAGGUCAGGUCUCUGUCUCUGCCUCAUUCCUGGCUGGAGUGCAGUGGUGCUGUCAUAGGUCGUUGCAGCUUUGAACUCCUGGGCUCUAGCUAUCCUCCUGCUUCAGCCUCCCAAGUAGCUGGGGCUACAGGCACGUGCCAUGACACCUGGUUGAUUUCUAAAGAUUUUGUCGAGGCAGGGUCUCUGUUGCCCAGGCUGGUCUCGAACUCCUGGCCUCAGGCCAUCCUCCUAACUAGUUCUCCCCAAGUGCUGGGAUCACAGGUGUGAGCCACUGCACCUGGCCCUGUUCAGAUUUUCUAUUUUUCCUGGGACAAUUUUGGUCAUUUGUAUCUUUCUAGGAAUUUUUUUGUUGUUGUUUUGAGACAGAGUCUCACUCUGUCACCCAAGCUGGAGUGCAAUGGCAUGAUCUCAGCUCACUGCAACCUCUGCCUCCUGGGUUCAAGUGAUUUUCCUGCCUCAGCCUCGUGAAUAGCUGGGAUUACAGGUGUGAGCCACCACGCCUGGCUAAUUUUUGUGUUUUUAGUAGAGACAGGGUUUCACCACUUUGGCCAGGUUGGUCUCGAACUUCUGACCUCAGGUGAUCUGCCUGCCUCGGCCUCCCAAAGUGCCGCGAUUACAGGCGUGAGCCACCACACCCAGCCAAGAUGUCGCAUCUUUUUAAAUGUUGGCAUUUGCAGCUAUAAAUUUCCCUCAGAGCAGUUUUUGCCGCAUUCCUUAAGUUCUGGUAUGUUGUUUUCAUCCAUCUCUAUUUCCUAAUUUUUCUCGUGAUUUCUCCUUUGACCCUUUGGCUGUUAAAAAGUGUGUUCAAUUUCUAUGUAUGUGUGAAUUUUCAUUUUCCUUCUGGUAUGGAUUUCUGGUUUUAUUCCAUUGUGAUUGGAGAAGGUGGUUUGCAGGAUUCCGAUCUCUAAUUUACUGAGACUUGCUUUGUGCACUAACGUGUGGUCUGUCCUGGAGAACGUUCCCUGUGCACUUAGAAACGUGUGUUCUGCUGCUAUUGGGUGGAGCACUGUUAAGUCUGGUCAGCCUUUUGGUUUUUAUGUAAUACUUGGCACAUUCACAAGAAAAUGUGUGAAACAGAAAGUACGACAAAGUGAAACCCACGAAGCCACCACUGACCCUGAGGUUCAAAACCUCCAGCAUCUCUGCUCUUCCCUAAGCACAGCUCCGUCCCCUCCCCACGGGUGAGCACUGUGUUGUACUGACUCCCUGCCCUCCCUGAUGACUUUAGCACCUGGGUAUGAAUUCCACACAUAUUUGGUUUUGAGCUUUAUAAAAAUGGCAUCAUACUGUAUGAACUGUCUUGCUUUUUCAUCCCACGUUGUUUCUGAGAGGUGUUUGUGAUGGAGCACAGGGCCAC